RNAcentral lists this transfer RNA (776 nucleotides) under Bradyrhizobium sp. 05LoS14R12_40. Its description in RNAcentral is "16S-23S ribosomal RNA intergenic spacer". The stretch from base 188 to 261 matches the Rfam family "tRNA". The record is from RNAcentral. Lineage: Bacteria; Pseudomonadati; Pseudomonadota; Alphaproteobacteria; Hyphomicrobiales; Nitrobacteraceae.
CUAAGGAUGGUUCUUCAGAAGCUUGCUUCUAUCGAACCGUUUUAGAAACAUCAGUGGCCAACGGUCGUCAGGAUCGUUGAGCUGCAUUGGCGGGAUUUCGCCGUCUACGUUUCUCUUUCUUCGCGGACGAACACGCGCUGGGGUUGCAAGCUGCAGAAUCCCCGGUCCUUAACAGGAUAUGCGUUAGGGGCUUGUAGCUCAGUUGGUUAGAGCGCGCGCUUGAUAAGCGUGAGGUCGGAAGUUCAAGUCUUCCCAGGCCCACCAUACUCAUCAAGUUAGCAUUCGUCUUCUGGUUACGGGGCCAUAGCUCAGCUGGGAGAGCGCGUGCUUUGCAAGCAUGAGGUCGUCGGUUCGAUCCCGUCUGGCUCCACCAGAUGGUUUGAUCACCGAGAUCUUACCGUCGUCCGCGAACAUCACUUCGCACUUACUAGUCUGGAUAGACAGUAAGCUGCGUGAUUUCUGACAUCGUAAAGAGGAGAUCGAUCCGAGUUGGAUCGUGCGGCAAGCAAUUGCCACGCGAGACUUCAUUAUCUCCGGAUCAUUUCGGCGCUCGUGCGUCUUUCAAGGUAGCUCACAAGGCUGCGCUUGAGGGACAAGCGAGUUGUAAAUGAUCCUUUUAGCGAAGCUUGACCGCCUCGCUAUCGGAACGAUCUUACGAAGCAAGCUGGUCUUUCUAAUCAUUGUCCGGCUGCAGAUAGCGUUCAUCGAGGGCGCGUGCCGCAAGGUAAUUCUGCAGACAACAUUCUGCCGAGUGUGUGGACAUUGAUAAUGAGAGC